GGGUCAGUAGGUUGGUCGUGCCACCGGUACGUACUGGUCUCACUGAUUCCUCCUCCCUGAAGAACCGUAAUGCCAUUAAUUUGGUGUUGCGGGGAAACAGGACUGUUACUUUUAAAAAAUUAGAGUGUUUAAAGCAAGCUAACGCUUGAAUACAUUAGCAUGGAAUAAUGAAAUAGGACGAUCGAUCCUAUUUUGUUGGUUUCUAGGAUUGACGUA
RNAcentral lists this ribosomal RNA (216 nucleotides) under Glomeromycotina sp. RNAcentral describes it as "partial small subunit ribosomal RNA". The stretch from base 87 to 216 matches the Rfam family "Eukaryotic small subunit ribosomal RNA", at positions 733 to 864 of the family's 1831-position model. The record is from RNAcentral. Lineage: Eukaryota; Fungi; Glomeromycota.